RNAcentral lists this ribosomal RNA (465 nucleotides) under Vreelandella stevensii. RNAcentral's name for it is "partial 16S ribosomal RNA". It matches the Rfam family "Bacterial small subunit ribosomal RNA", at positions 338 to 795 of the family's 1533-position model. The record is from RNAcentral. Lineage: Bacteria; Pseudomonadati; Pseudomonadota; Gammaproteobacteria; Oceanospirillales; Halomonadaceae.
CCUACGGGUGGCUGCAGUGGGGAAUAUUGGACAAUGGGGGGAACCCUGAUCCAGCCAUGCCGCGUGUGUGAAGAAGGCCCUCGGGUUGUAAAGCACUUUCAGUGAGGAAGAACGCCUGGUGGUUAAUACCCAUCAGGAAAGACAUCACUCACAGAAGAAGCACCGGCUAACUCCGUGCCAGCAGCCGCGGUAAUACGGAGGGUGCGAGCGUUAAUCGGAAUUACUGGACGUAAAGCGCGCGUAGGUGGCUUGAUAAGCCGGUUGUGAAAGCCCCGGGCUCAACCUGGGAACGGCAUCCGGAACUGUCAAGCUAGAGUGCAGGAGAGGAAGGUAGAAUUCCCGGUGUAGCGGUGAAAUGCGUAGAGAUCGGGAGGAAUACCAGUGGCGAAGGAGGCCUUCGGGACUGACACUGACACUGAGGUGCGAAAGCGUGGGUAGCACACAGGAUUAGAUACCCUAGUAGUC